GUUCUUUUAGUAUUAAUAAGUACAACUGACUUCCAAUCAGUUAGUUUUGGUCUAACCCAGAAAAGAAUA
RNAcentral lists this transfer RNA (69 nucleotides) under Tragelaphus spekii (Sitatunga). RNAcentral describes it as "tRNA-Gly". It matches the Rfam family "tRNA". Rfam says of the family: Transfer RNA (tRNA) molecules are approximately 80 nucleotides in length. Lineage: Eukaryota; Metazoa; Chordata; Mammalia; Artiodactyla; Bovidae. The record is from RNAcentral.